Molecule: ribosomal RNA, 308 nt
Filed under: uncultured bacterium
Lineage: Bacteria
Description: bacterial SSU rRNA
Rfam family: Bacterial small subunit ribosomal RNA
Source: RNAcentral
GACGAACGCUGGCGGCGUGCCUAACACAUGCAAGUCGAACGGAAGUAAGAGCUUCGGUUUUUGCUUUAGUGGCGAACGGGUGAGUAACGCGUGAGGAACCUGCCUUUCAGUGGGGGACAACAGUUGGAAACGACUGCUAAUACCGCAUAAUGUCAUUUGGGGGGCAUCCCUGGAUGACCAAAGAUUUAUUGCUGAAAGAUGGCCUCGCGUCUGAUUAGAUAGUUGGCGGGGUAACGGCCCACCAAGUCGACGAUCAGUAGCCGGACUGAGAGGUUGACCGGCCACAUUGGGACUGAGAUACGGCCCAG